RNAcentral lists this ribosomal RNA (800 nucleotides) under uncultured Sphingobacteriales bacterium. RNAcentral describes it as "bacterial SSU rRNA". It matches the Rfam family "Bacterial small subunit ribosomal RNA", at positions 70 to 867 of the family's 1533-position model. The record is from RNAcentral. Lineage: Bacteria; Pseudomonadati; Bacteroidota; Sphingobacteriia; Sphingobacteriales.
GGGGCGUAGCAAUACGUUCGCUGGCGACCGGCAAACGGGUGCGGAACACGUACACAACCUUCCUUAAAGUGGGGGAUAGCCCGGGGAAACCCGGAUUAAUACCCCGUAACAUAGUGAAGUGGCAUCGCUUUAUUAUUAUAGCAGUAAUGCGCUUAAAGAUGGGUGUGCGACUGAUUAGGCAGUUGGCGGGGUAACGGCCCACCAAACCUACGAUCAGUAACUGGUGUGAGAGCACGACCAGUCACACGGGCACUGAGACACGGGCCCGACUCCUACGGGAGGCAGCAGUAAGGAAUAUUGGUCAAUGGACGCAAGUCUGAACCAGCCAUGCCGCGUGGAGGAUGAAGGUCCUCUGGAUUGUAAACUUCUUUUACCUGGGAAGAAAUCCACAAAUUCUUUUGUGGUUGACGGUACCAGGUGAAUAAGCACCGGCUAACUCCGUGCCAGCAGCCGCGGUAAUACGGAGGGUGCAAGCGUUAUCCGGAUUCACUGGGUUUAAAGGGUGCGUAGGUGGGUUGGUAAGUCAGUGGUGAAAUCUCCAGGCUUAACUUGGAAACUGCCAUUGAUACUAUCAAUCUUGAAUACCGUGGAGGUCAGCGGAAUAUGUCAUGUAGCGGUGAAAUGCUUAGAUAUGACAUAGAACACCAAUUGCGAAGGCAGCUGGCUACGCGGAUAUUGACACUGAUGCACGAAAGCGUGGGGAUCAAACAGGAUUAGAUACCCUGGUAGUCCACGCCCUAAACGAUGGAUACUCGACAUACGCGAUAUACUGUGUGUGUCUGAGCGAAAGCAUUAAGUAU